UGACCCAUGGUGUAAAGGCAGCACAAGAGGUUUUGGUUCUCUCGGUCCAGGUUCGAAUCCUGGUGGGUCAACAA
Molecule: transfer RNA, 74 nt
Filed under: Bacteroidetes bacterium GWE2_42_24
Lineage: Bacteria; Pseudomonadati; Bacteroidota
Also listed under: 3 other names
Description: tRNA-Gln
Rfam family: tRNA
About the family: Transfer RNA (tRNA) molecules are approximately 80 nucleotides in length. Their secondary structure includes four short double-helical elements and three loops (D, anti-codon, and T loops).
Source: RNAcentral